UGGGGAAUAUUGGACAAUGGGCGCAAGCCUGAUCCAGCCAUGCCGCGUGAGUGAUGAAGGCCCUAGGGUUGUAAAGCUCUUUCGCCAGGGACGAUAAUGACGGUACCUGGAUAAGAAGCCCCGGCUAACUUCGUGCCAGCAGCCGCGGUAAUACGAAGGGGGCUAGCGUUGUUCGGAAUCACUGGGCGUAAAGCGCACGUAGGCGGAUCUUUAAGUCAGGGGUGAAAUCCCGAGGCUCAACCUCGGAACUGCCUUUGAUACUGGAGGUCUCGAGUCCGGGAGAGGUGAGUGGAACUGCGAGUGUAGAGGUGAAAUUCGUAGAUAUUCGCAAGAACACCAGUGGCGAAGGCGGCUCACUGGCCCGGUACUGACGCUGAGGUGCGAAAGCGUGGGGAGCAAAACAGGAUUAGAUACCCUGGUAGUCCACGCCGUAAACUAUGGAUGCUAGCCGUUGGGCAGCUUGCUGUUCAGUGGCGCAGCUAACGCUUUAAGCAUCCCGCCUGGGGGAGUACGGUCGCAAGAUUAAAACUCAAAUGAAUUGACGGGGUCAUAGCUGUUU
This 559-nucleotide ribosomal RNA is filed under the name uncultured bacterium. Its description in RNAcentral is "partial 16S ribosomal RNA". It matches the Rfam family "Bacterial small subunit ribosomal RNA", at positions 355 to 935 of the family's 1533-position model. The record is from RNAcentral.